RNAcentral lists this ribosomal RNA (468 nucleotides) under uncultured bacterium. RNAcentral describes it as "partial 16S ribosomal RNA". It matches the Rfam family "Bacterial small subunit ribosomal RNA", at positions 28 to 507 of the family's 1533-position model. The record is from RNAcentral.
GACGAACGCUGGCGGCGUGCUUAACACAUGCAAGUCGAACGGAAAGGCCCUGCUUUUGUGGGGUGCUCGAGUGGCGAACGGGUGAGUAACACGUGAGUAACCUGCCCUUGACUUUGGGAUAACUUCAGGAAACUGGGGCUAAUACCGGAUAGGAGCUCCUGCUGCAUGGUGGGGGUUGGAAAGUUUCGGCGGUUGGGGAUGGACUCGCGGCUUAUCAGCUUGUUGGUGGGGUAGUGGCUUACCAAGGCUUUGACGGGUAGCCGGCCUGAGAGGGUGACCGGCCACAUUGGGACUGAGAUACGGCCCAGACUCCUACGGGAGGCAGCAGUGGGGAAUAUUGCACAAUGGGCGGGAGCCUGAUGCAGCAACGCCGCGUGCGGGAUGCCGGCCUUCGGGUUGUAAACCGCUUUCGCCUGUGACGAAGCGUGAGUGACGGUAAUGGGUAAAGAAGCACCGGCUAACUACGUG